AAGUCGUAACAAGGUUUCCGUAGGUGAACCUGCGGAAGGAUCAUUGCCAAGUUUGCAAAAAACAACAAUAUUUUGACGACUCUGAACCUGAAGACCGGGAUAGUUUUUAACUGUCCCGGGCUGUUUACUAUUCUAUAUUAUAAACUUUAAAACAAAACAAAAUCAUACAACUCGUUGCCAUGGAUCUCUAGGCUUAUGG
This 199-nucleotide unclassified non-coding RNA is filed under the name fungal sp. RNAcentral's name for it is "partial internal transcribed spacer region". The stretch from base 1 to 46 matches the Rfam family "Eukaryotic small subunit ribosomal RNA", at positions 1786 to 1831 of the family's 1831-position model. Lineage: Eukaryota; Fungi. The record is from RNAcentral.